AGUGCAUCCAUAGAUAGGUUCAUAAUAAAUUAUUUCUUUAAAUAACUUCUAGCAAUAAGUUUUGCCCUAGGCUUCCCUUCAGUAGGUGUGUGGCACCUCCAUUGAAAAUCUCGGUUAGGUCCAACCAUUAACAUGACACACCAAGUACAUCUAACAAAUAGAUGUCUAGACCCGAGUGUGGCUCGACCAACCUGAGCAUUGAUAUGAAGGUACAUCAUGAUGGUCAUUUGAUGAAUGACAAUUUCAAUAUGUAAUAGACACUAGGCGUGUGGCGUCUCCAAUGCCUAUUUGAAAU
This 295-nucleotide long non-coding RNA is filed under the name Elaeis guineensis (African oil palm). RNAcentral describes it as "long non-coding RNA (EGUI_LNC072628)". The record is from RNAcentral. Lineage: Eukaryota; Viridiplantae; Streptophyta; Magnoliopsida; Arecales; Arecaceae.